GGCUCUCGGUCGAGGAAUGAAC
Molecule: microRNA, 22 nt
Filed under: Pristionchus pacificus
Lineage: Eukaryota; Metazoa; Nematoda; Chromadorea; Rhabditida; Neodiplogasteridae
Description: ppc-miR-8268-5p
Source: miRBase by way of RNAcentral